This 255-nucleotide ribosomal RNA is filed under the name uncultured Methanosaeta sp. RNAcentral's name for it is "partial 16S ribosomal RNA". It matches the Rfam family "Archaeal small subunit ribosomal RNA", at positions 1083 to 1338 of the family's 1478-position model. Lineage: Archaea; Methanobacteriati; Methanobacteriota; Methanomicrobia; Methanotrichales; Methanotrichaceae. The record is from RNAcentral.
AGUGACGGGUACACUGUGGGACCGCCGCUGCUAAAGCGGAGGAAGGAAUGGGCAACGGUAGGUCAGUAUGCCCCGAAUAUCCCGGGCUACACGCGAGCUACAAUGGUUGGUACAAUGGGUAUCUACCCCGAAAGGGGACGGAAAUCUCCUAAAACCAAUCUUAGUUCGGAUUGAGGGCUGCAACUCGCCCUCAUGAAGCUGGAAUCCGUAGUAAUCGCGUUUCAACAGAACGCGGUGAAUACGUCCCUGCUCCUU